UCUUGCCCACUUAGUGCCAUAUUGGACAGUGAGUAAGAUGGUGAAUUAUUCGCCGUUUUUAAAAAGCUAUGAAUUAUUCACUAUUUUUAGGUUGUCAUCAUUGUUUACAAGUUUUUCUUUUGUGUAUGGGUUGUGAGGAUUUUUUUUGAUGUUGUUACAAUUAUAUGUGAAUUGUUGAAAAAUUUGUUUGGUUGUAAAGAUUGUAUGGGCAGGUUUUAGGAUUUUUUAAGUUGUUAUUGUUAUGUGAUUUGCUGAAACUUUUAUAUGAUUGAUAGGAUUAUAUAUGUGAAAUAAAAAGAAACCGCAUAUCGUUUAUCAUUUUUCUUUCUAAAAAAAUGUGGUAAAUGACUUGUUGUCUUUUAAAU
RNAcentral lists this long non-coding RNA (365 nucleotides) under Ananas comosus (pineapple). Its description in RNAcentral is "long non-coding RNA (ACOM_LNC016876)". Lineage: Eukaryota; Viridiplantae; Streptophyta; Magnoliopsida; Poales; Bromeliaceae. The record is from RNAcentral.